This is a long non-coding RNA of Pelobates fuscus (common spadefoot toad), 599 nucleotides long. RefSeq lists it as uncharacterized. NCBI's taxonomy places the organism in Eukaryota, Metazoa, Chordata, Amphibia, Anura, Pelobatidae. The transcript is spliced from 2 exons. The record is from RefSeq and is a predicted model, not a curated record.
AGCCAUCACCAUGGCAACCCGGGUCUUGUGACAUUCCAUCACGUGACCCUGCCUGCUUCCGCUCACAUACCCGCACCUAGGCCGCCGCCGCCGCCGCCGCCUCUCAGUGUCUACCCCCCCUCACCAUGGAGACCCAGCCAACCCGACACCGGCCGGCACCAGAACCGAGCCAGGGGAGCAGUAAGGCCGGACCGGACCCUUCGGAGCUGGCGGAGAGGAGGAAGGAGGCCCGGGGCUGCCUACAGGAAAUCUCUCACCCGUCAUACUGGUUCGAUGUGUGGGUGUUCCUGCUCUUCGACCUGAUCUUAUUCAUCUUCAUCUACCUGCUGCCCUGAAAUACUUGUAAACCUUCAAGACACUAAAGACGACUAUCCCUCUUGGACAUGAAAUGCUUCAUUGGCGUCAUUUGCAAACAUUUGACGUUAACAGUCUUUUGCCAUUAAGAGUAGUAACUCUUUGAAUUACAGUAUGGGUGUUGGAUUGUAAAAUGGAUAUUGAAAGACUUCUUACACGAAGACCCUUGGAAUAUUUAUUUUCUACAAGAUGAUUUUCAGUUAAUUCUUACACAAAUUUUUUAUAAAGAUUAUAAUUCAAGGCCA